UUCACCCUUCAUUAUUCUUUGGGCUGCUGAAUACACAUAAACCCCUUGUCCUUUGUGAUGAAGGAAAAAUGACAAUUCGACUAGCAGCUCCCAAAAAUACAUUCACACGGCUUUAUAUAUAUAUUGAACAGUCAGUUUCAUCACAAGAAUUGUUAUCAAGAGGCAGCAACAUGACGUAAAAUUAUUUUCCUCAAGAGAAAUAUUCGAGUUUCACUCACUGCUUUUGAUCUCGUUAUUCCAUUUUGUGGUGUUAUUGAAUCCGGGUUUUCUUCGUAGUGAAGUAAGGUGGAAACAGAUUAUUUCUUGGGAUAUAAGGUUUAUCAUAUUAAUUGUGGAAGUUCUUGGAUGGACUGAGCUCUUGAACGACGUGAGGUACAGAUGCUCACGUUGGUAACCCGCCAGCUUAGGAGUCCUAUUCAGCUAUCUUGGAGAGCUCCCUUGUUCCGGAGCCUAGAUUUUGGUACAGAAUCUCUUGUUGUGUAUAUGUAUUUUAUCCAGGGGUACGGCGGGGCCCUGCCCCGUCAUAUGAUACUGUUGUUACUCUUAGAGGCCUGUAGACAUAUGUGUGGGUUGUGUAUCGAUGUUGUUCAGUUGUGUCUAUAUGGCUUAUGUUUUGGGACGUUCCCAUUCGUAAUGGCAGCCUUGUCGGCUUGCGUAGAUAUAUAUAUAUAUAUAUAUAUGUUUUGAGAAGUAAUGUGUUAUGAUAGCCUUGUCGGCUCGUUUGUGGCGGGGAUGUUCCCUUAUAUAUUAUGAAAGCCUUGUCGGCUUAUGUACUAUAAUGUCUGUUGAAAGUUGUACCUCCCCAGGAGACAGGUUGU
Long non-coding RNA from Lycium barbarum (goji berry), 818 nucleotides. RefSeq lists it as uncharacterized. The transcript has 3 exons. Lineage: Eukaryota; Viridiplantae; Streptophyta; Magnoliopsida; Solanales; Solanaceae. The record is from RefSeq and is a predicted model, not a curated record.